RNAcentral lists this ribosomal RNA (493 nucleotides) under uncultured bacterium. Its description in RNAcentral is "bacterial SSU rRNA". It matches the Rfam family "Bacterial small subunit ribosomal RNA", at positions 28 to 507 of the family's 1533-position model. The record is from RNAcentral.
GAUGAACGCUAGCUACAGGCUUAACACAUGCAAGUCGAGGGGAAACGACAUCGAAAGCUUGCUUUUGAUGGGCGUCGACCGGCGCACGGGUGAGUAACGCGUAUCCAACCUGCCCACCACUUGGGGAUAACCUUGCGAAAGUAAGACUAAUACCCAAUGAUAUCCCACGAAGGCAUCCGAAUGGGAUUAAAGAUUUAUCGGUGAUGGAUGGGGAUGCGUCUGAUUAGCUUGUUGGCGGGGUAACGGCCCACCAAGGCGACGAUGGGUAGGGGUUCUGAGAGGAAGGUCCCCCCACAUUGGAACUGAGACACGGUCCAAACUCCUACGGGAGGCAGCAGUGAGGAAUAUUGGUCAAUGGGCGAAAGCCUGAACCAGCCAAGUAGCGUGCAGGACGACGGCCCUAUGGGUUGUAAACUGCUUUUAUAAGGGAAUAAAGUGAGUCUCGUGAGACUUUUUGCAUGUACCUUAUGAAUAAGGACCGGCUAAUUCCGUG